CUACGUGCCAGCAGCCGCGGUAAUACGGAGGGUGCGAGCGUUAAUCGGAAUAACUGGGCGUAAAGGGCACGCAGGCGGUGACUUAAGUGAGGUGUGAAAGCCCCGGGCUUAACCUGGGAAUUGCAUUUCAUACUGGGUCGCUAGAGUACUUUAGGGAGGGGUAGAAUUCCACGUGUAGCGGUGAAAUGCGUAGAGAUGUGGAGGAAUACCGAAGGCGAAGGCAGCCCCUUGGGAAUGUACUGACGCUCAUGUGCGAAAGCGUGGGGAGCAAACAGGAUUAGAUACCCUGGUAGUCCACGCUGUAAACGAUGUCGAUUUGGGGGUUGAGCUUUGAGCUUGGCGCCCGUAGCUAACGUGAUAAAUCGACCGCCUGGGGAGUACGGCCGCAAGGUUAAAACUCAAAUGAAUUGACGGGGGCCCGCACAAGCGGUGGAGCAUGUGGUUUAAUUCGAUGCAACGCGAAGAACCUUACCUACUCU
This 479-nucleotide ribosomal RNA is filed under the name uncultured bacterium. RNAcentral's name for it is "bacterial SSU rRNA". It matches the Rfam family "Bacterial small subunit ribosomal RNA", at positions 501 to 981 of the family's 1533-position model. The record is from RNAcentral.